AGAAUGAGCCUUUCAGGCAUCCUCUCCUAAAACUUUACGGGCUGGCUCAUUGAGCUGGCCCUUUUUUUGUUCUUUC
Molecule: small RNA, 76 nt
Organism: Sphingomonas sp. SKA58
Lineage: Bacteria; Pseudomonadati; Pseudomonadota; Alphaproteobacteria; Sphingomonadales; Sphingomonadaceae
Rfam family: Makes More Granules Regulator RNA (mmgR)
About the family: SuhB later renamed mmgR (makes more granules regulator) was a putative non-coding RNA found multiple times in the Agrobacterium tumefaciens genome and related alpha-proteobacteria. Other non-coding RNAs uncovered in the same analysis include: speF, ybhL, metA, and serC. Several studies inSinorhizobium meliloti showed that suhB element is indeed a non-coding RNA:firstly it was detected on Northern blot and called Sm8RNA, secondly in an RNAseq study referred to as SmelC689.
Source: Rfam